Molecule: small nucleolar RNA, 78 nt
Filed under: Bombyx mori (domestic silkworm)
Lineage: Eukaryota; Metazoa; Arthropoda; Insecta; Lepidoptera; Bombycidae
Description: C/D box snoRNA
Source: RNAcentral
AUUAAAUGAUGUUUACAAACAAUAACUUUCGUUCUUCUGACAAGCGAACGCUUGACAGCUAAAUUUUGUUUCUGAUUU